This 440-nucleotide ribosomal RNA is filed under the name uncultured bacterium. Its description in RNAcentral is "partial 16S ribosomal RNA". It matches the Rfam family "Bacterial small subunit ribosomal RNA", at positions 338 to 795 of the family's 1533-position model. The record is from RNAcentral.
CCUACGGGAGGCAGCAGUGGGGAAUAUUGCACAAUGGGGGAAACCCUGAUCCAGCCACGCCGCGUGAGUGAAGACGUAUUUCGGUAUGUAAAGCUCUAUCUGCAGGGAAGAAAAUUACGGUACCUGAUUAAGAAGCCGCGGCUAACUACGGGCAAGCAGCCGCGGUAAUACGUAGGGGGCCAGCGUUAUCCGGAUUUACUGGGUGUAAAGGGAGCGUAUACGGCAGCACAAGUCUGUAGUGAAAGGCCUGGGCUUAACCCCGGAGCUGCUUUUGAAACUGUGCAGCUUGAGUGCAGGAGAGGUAAGCGGAAUGCAUAGUGUAGCGGUGAAAUGCGUAGAUAUUGGGAGGAACACCAGUGGCGAAGGCGGCUUACUGGACUGUAACUGACGUUGAGGCACGAAAGCGUGGGGAGCAAACAGGAUUAGAUACCCUUGUAGUC